RNAcentral lists this ribosomal RNA (729 nucleotides) under Actinomycetales bacterium TLI217. RNAcentral's name for it is "bacterial SSU rRNA". It matches the Rfam family "Bacterial small subunit ribosomal RNA", at positions 143 to 884 of the family's 1533-position model. Lineage: Bacteria; Bacillati; Actinomycetota; Actinomycetes; Actinomycetales. The record is from RNAcentral.
ACAAGCCCUGGAAACGGGGUCUAAUACCGGAUAUUACCUUCCUCUGCAUGGGGGUUGGUGGAAAGCUCCGGCGGUGCAGGAUGAGCCCGCGGCCUAUCAGCUUGUUGGUGGGGUAAUGGCCUACCAAGGCGACGACGGGUAGCCGGCCUGAGAGGGCGACCGGCCACACUGGGACUGAGACACGGCCCAGACUCCUACGGGAGGCAGCAGUGGGGAAUAUUGCACAAUGGGCGAAAGCCUGAUGCAGCGACGCCGCGUGAGGGAUGACGGCCUUCGGGUUGUAAACCUCUUUCAGCAGGGAAGAAGCGAAAGUGACGGUACCUGCAGAAGAAGCACCGGCUAACUACGUGCCAGCAGCCGCGGUAAUACGUAGGGUGCGAGCGUUGUCCGGAAUUAUUGGGCGUAAAGAGCUCGUAGGCGGCCUGUCGCGUCGGUUGUGAAAGCCCGGGGCUUAACCCCGGGUCUGCAGUCGAUACGGGCAGGCUAGAGUUCGGUAGGGGAGAUCGGAAUUCCUGGUGUAGCGGUGAAAUGCGCAGAUAUCAGGAGGAACACCGGUGGCGAAGGCGGAUCUCUGGGCCGAUACUGACGCUGAGGAGCGAAAGCGUGGGGAGCGAACAGGAUUAGAUACCCUGGUAGUCCACGCCGUAAACGUUGGGAACUAGGUGUGGGCGACAUUCCACGUCGUCCGUGCCGCAGCUAACGCAUUAAGUUCCCCGCCUGGGGAGUACG